RNAcentral lists this ribosomal RNA (497 nucleotides) under uncultured bacterium. Its description in RNAcentral is "partial 16S ribosomal RNA". It matches the Rfam family "Bacterial small subunit ribosomal RNA", at positions 28 to 507 of the family's 1533-position model. The record is from RNAcentral.
GAUGAACGCUGGCGGCGUGCCUAAUACAUGCAAGUCGAGCGAACAGAUAAGGAGCUUGCUCCUUUGACGUUAGCGGCGGACGGGUGAGUAACACGUGGGUAACCUACCUAUAAGACUGGGAUAACUUCGGGAAACCGGAGCUAAUACCGGAUAACAUUUGGAACCGCAUGGUUCUAAAGUGAAAGAUGGUUUUGCUAUCACUUAUAGAUGGACCCGCGCCGUAUUAGCUAGUUGGUAAGGUAACGGCUUACCAAGGCAACGAUACGUAGCCGACCUGAGAGGGUGAACGGCCACACUGGAACUGAGACACGGUCCAGACUCCUACGGGAGGCAGCAGUAGGGAAUCUGCCGCAAUGGGCGAAAGCCUGACGGAGCAACGCCGCGUGAGUGAUGAAGGGUUUCGGCUCGUAAAACUCUGUUAUUAGGGAAGAACAAACGUGUAAGUAACUGUGCACGUCUUGACGGUACCUAAUCAGAAAGCCACGGCUAACUACGUG